AAUAUUGGAUAAUGGGCGAAAGCCUGAUCCAGCCAUGCCGCGUGUGUGAAGGAGGUCUUCGGAUUGUAAAGCACUUUCAGUUGGGAGGAAGGGAAGUAAGUUAAUACCUUGCUGUUUUGACGUUACCGACAGAAUAAGCACCGGCGAACUUCGUGCCAGCAGCCGCGGUAAUACGAAGGGUGCAAGCGUUAAUCGGAAUUACUGGGCGUAAAGCGGGCGUAGGUGGUUCGUUAAGUUGGAUGUGGAAGCCCCGGGGUCAACCUGGGAACUGCAUCCAAAACUGGCGAGCUAGAGUACGGUAGAGGGUGGUGGAAUUUCCUGUGUAGCGGUGAAAUGCGGAGAUAUUGGAGGGAACACCAGUGGCGAAGGCGACCACCUGGACUGAUACUAACACUGAGGUGCGAAAACAUGGGGAGCAAACAAG
Molecule: ribosomal RNA, 424 nt
Filed under: uncultured bacterium
Lineage: Bacteria
Description: partial 16S ribosomal RNA
Rfam family: Bacterial small subunit ribosomal RNA
Source: RNAcentral